Molecule: long non-coding RNA, 2139 nt
Filed under: Homo sapiens (human)
Lineage: Eukaryota; Metazoa; Chordata; Mammalia; Primates; Hominidae
Description: long non-coding RNA NONHSAT163274
Source: RNAcentral
UGACACAGAGUUCGGUUUUUACUAUUAUGUGUUUGGCUGGGUGCAGAAUUGCCCUCACCACCCCUGGCCACCCUGGCCUCCUGGGAGGAACAGGCAGAGAUGGCUCCAGAUGGCUCUUGGCUGCCACUCUAGGCCUCAGGGCUUAUACAAUGAGCACAGCGGGUUCCACCUUCCAAUAGGAAGUGCAAACUCUAAUUCACAGUCAGACUUCACCAGGAGGGAGAGAUGGUCUUGGCUGAAGGCACUUUAAUCAGGGAGCAAACCCAGUGCCAGGGUUUGUCUUCCUUCUCGUUACUCUGAUAAGUCUAGAUGCCACUCUGUUGGAAAACCAGCACUGCCCACAGCUAGGGUUAGUGCACUGACUGAGCGAAGCAUGAGACCUGCUCACUGGUACAACUUCUCGUUAGGGCUAUUAGCAUGGUCAGCUAGCAGCUAGCAUGGAGUGAACUGUUUUCCAUAGGCAGCCUCAUACUUCUUGAGCCGGGCCACUAUCUUCUGGGGGCCAUACAGAGCCACAAAGCAGAAAGGCCCUCCAAAACAAGGCGGGAAGCCAAGCCCAAAGACAGCUGCGAUGUCUCCCUCUGCAGGUGUGGCCAAGAUCCCCUCUCGCAGGCACAUGACUGCCUCAUUCACAAAUCUUGUCACCAGGCGGAACUGGAUGUCUUCACCUGGGGAGACUUCAGACUUAGGAGGCAUCUUUAGACUCACUAAGAUACUAUCCACAUCAGAAUUCAAAUUCUUACUCUUCACACCCUCCUGAUAGAUGUAAAAGCCCUUCCCAAACUUGCGACCUAGGAAGCCCUUGGACACCAUCUGUGUCAGCAGUUCUGGGUUUCCACCUCCAAACCGCUCCCCAAGGGCUUUGCGCAGAUCUUCCGCCAUAUGUUUCGCUACAUCCACGCCAACUUCAUCCACCAGUGUGGCGGCACCCACAGGAAAGCCAAAGCUUGUGGUCAGGGAAUCCAGCUUCUCCAGGUCAACUCCUUCCUGGAGGAUUCGGAUGACUUCAGACAUCAUGGGUGCAAGACACCUGGUGGUAUAGAAGCCAGGUCCAUCCAUAACCACAAUGAUGACCUUCCCCUGCUUGAGACUGACUGCCACAGCUGAAGCACUGAGUGUCUUUGGAAGUUUUCUCGGUUGUGAUCAUCUCCAGCAGCUGCAUCUUGUCCAUGGGAGAGAAGUAGUGCAUGCCAAUCACCUUCUCAGGUCUUUUGCUGACAGCAGCGAUUUCACUGAUUGGGAAAGCAGAUGUGUUACUGGCAAAGACACAGUGAUCUGGAAUCACCGCUUCUACUUCCUUUAGCACUCUGUGCUUAAGACUAAGGUCCUCAAACACAGCUUCAAUCACCAUGUCGACCUUUAAAACGUUGCUAAUCAAGCUGCCCAUCAAGUUGCUGAAGAUGGAAUCCCUUACAAAUGAUGUUAGAGCUUUCUUAUUCACUUUAUCAUUCAAUCCUUUGAACACUUGUUGCUGUCCUUGGCCUAGCCUAGUGAGUGUGGCAUCUUUAAGUAUAGUCUUUAGCCUCUUAUCCACAGAGACUUGGGUGAUGCCUGCUCCCUUCAGCCCUUCACCAAGAAUAGCCAGACGCUUAACAUCCUUCUGUGGUGCUCCAAAUUUAUUCUUCUUGCACAAGACCUGACCAUGGUAGAGACCCAUCAAGGCCUUUGAUUCACUGGUCAUUGCAAGCUAUCCAAAUUUCUGAGAUUCAGAGAGAUAACCAGCAUCAAUCCCUCGCUCAAUUCCAGUCUUUACCACGUCAAUUAUUUUCAGAGGUGCAGGAUAAAGGCCUUUAGUCUCCUUUUGCACUUUUUCUUCCACUUUUUUGUAAACCUGUUGCCUGACAAAUGGAAUAGUCAUGGUGUACGCUGUCAAUUUUUCCACCAAUCCCUUGUCUCUCUUUGGAGAGAUCUUCUUAUCAGCUAGUCCUUUGGCAAAAGUAAUUGCAACUGCUUCCAGGUAUUCGAUUGUCCAUUCCUCUGGAGGUUUUAUUCCCGGUCCCAGGGGUUCUACCAAUUGGUCAACCAGUCCCAUUUUCUUUGCGCUAUCUGCAUGAAUGUUUCUACUAGUCAGCAUCAUGUCAAAAACAGCAGGCACACCCACCAUUUUGGGCAGCCUUUGUGUGCCUCCUGCUCCUGGUA